CACGGUGAUUGAGCUCAUUGUAUUUUCGAAUAAUUACGUAACCGUCCAAUAGGGAUAGCUGAGAUGAAACGUGCAGUCAUGAUAAAUAAUAUUUCAUGAAGUUGAGACAAAGGAUUUGUGCACGGUGAGGUACAGUUCAACAUCAAACAAAGCUCUUCUAUUCGCUCACGGUGAUUGAGCUCAUUGUAUUUUCGAAUAAUUACGUAACCGUCCAAUAGGGAUAGCUGAGAUGAAACGUGCAGUCAUGAUAAAUAAUAUUUCAUGAAGUUGAGACAAAGGAUUUGUGCACGGUGAGGUACAGUUCAACAUCAAACAAAGCUCUUCUAUUCGCUCACGGUGAUUGAGCUCAUUGUAUUUUCGAAUAAUUACGUAACCGUCCAAUAGGGAUAGCUGAGAUGAAACGUGCAGUCAUGAUAAAUAAUAUUUCAUGAAGUUGAGACAAAGGAUUUGUGCACGGUGAGGUACAGUUCAACAUCAAACAAAGCUCUUCUAUUCGCUCACGGUGAUUGAGCUCAUUGUAUUUUCGAAUAAUUACGUAACCGUCCAAUAGGGAUAGCUGAGAUGAAACGUGCAGUCAUGAUAAAUAAUAUUUCAUGAAGUUGAGACAAAGGAUUUGUGCACGGUGAGGUACAGUUCAACAUCAAACAAAGCUCUUCUAUUCGCUCACGGUGAUUGAGCUCAUUGUAUUUUCGAAUAAUUACGUAACCGUCCAAUAGGGAUAGCUGAGAUGAAACGUGCAGUCAUGAUAAAUAAUAUUUAAUGAUGUUGAGACAAAGGAUUUGUGCACGGUGAGGUACAGUUCAACAUCAAACAAAGGUCUUCUACUUUGUGGCUUUGACGUUUGCCGGGCUUCCAGACCAUCGUAUCUUCACAGAUUGUGAGUAAAUUGACUGCUUUGACUAUAUUGAGAUAACUUUAGAUUUAGUAGAUCACGUGAAAUCACGUGCAAUAGUUUAUUAAUAGCAUUUUUCGCGCACUAAAGUUAUGUUUACCACAUACUUAAUUAAGUUUUACCACAUUAUACUUGAUCGUCCAUUGAAUGAAAUGUAAUUUUCGUUGGAUGCAGUAAAUUAAAGAAGCACUACUUUUUAUCUCAGGCGCCUGAAGUGAAUGGUUCUUAUAUAUAUAUUUAUAAUAUAGCAUUUGUAAAUUCUGAACGCUGAUUGGCUAAGAGCCGUGUUGAUAUAAUUCAAUGUCAGCACGGAAACGUCGGAAAAUUUCUUUCUUUAUGUUUCUUUGUGCUAUAUUAUAAAACAAAUAUAAAACAUUUUUUCCGUAUUGAUAUAUAGUUAUAUCAACACUCGUGGAAAUUGGGAAAACUCGAAAUUGUGUGAAAACACUCCGCCCUUCGGGCGUCGUGUUUCCACACAGUUUCUCGUUUUCCCAAUU
Non-coding RNA from Paramuricea clavata, 1389 nucleotides. NCBI's taxonomy places the organism in Eukaryota, Metazoa, Cnidaria, Anthozoa, Malacalcyonacea, Plexauridae. The record is from the annotation of a GenBank genome assembly.